This 73-nucleotide transfer RNA is filed under the name Caudoviricetes sp. RNAcentral's name for it is "tRNA-Leu". It matches the Rfam family "tRNA". Rfam says of the family: Transfer RNA (tRNA) molecules are approximately 80 nucleotides in length. The record is from RNAcentral. Lineage: Duplodnaviria; Heunggongvirae; Uroviricota; Caudoviricetes.
CGCAGAGUGGAGCAGGCGGAAGCUCGGCGGUCUCAGUAGCCGCAGGUCAUCGGUUCGAAUCCGGUCUCUGCAA